RNAcentral lists this long non-coding RNA (577 nucleotides) under Anolis carolinensis (green anole). RNAcentral's name for it is "lncRNA (ENSACAG00000042488.1)". Lineage: Eukaryota; Metazoa; Chordata; Lepidosauria; Squamata; Anolidae. The record is from RNAcentral.
AUGUUCCAGAAGUAUUCUCUCCUGACGUUUCGCCCACAAAAGACAUACAACAACCCUGUGAUCCCGGCUAUGAAAGCCUUCAACAACACAAACCGAACAUCCACUGGAGCAAGAGUCAUUGUUUCCAAGACCCUGAACUAUCCUCUAGGCCUGGAAAGUCCCUUGCCAAAGAUCUCAGAUUUUCUAGCUCAGGUCAUCUUCUCUGAAACUUGGGUGGAGAAGGAACAAGGAAGACUAGCACCAUGUAAGAUAACACUCAAAGUAAAGUUGGAGGAAGAAGAGGAAAUCUGGCUCAUGAUGACAUCAGCCUUUGAUUGUUGUGAUGAUGACACCAUUCAUAGGAAUCAUUUGAACCUGUCGAUCUCUACAAUCCAAAAAUUGAAGAUGAGUAUGGAGGAUUGUAAGGCUGGUCAGCUAGCGUACAAUUUCCUGCUGUCACCCAGCUUUUUUAUUGACUGAUUUGUUGAUCGCAGAAUCAUUACUGUUAGGCUCAAUACUGAUAAAAGUAUCAGUGUUGCCAUCUAUGCUGUCAAAUAUUUAGUAGGUUUUGUCUCUUCUAUUGAUAAGUGUUGGCCAG